Molecule: small RNA, 115 nt
Filed under: Peptoniphilus sp. ING2-D1G
Lineage: Bacteria; Bacillati; Bacillota; Tissierellia; Tissierellales; Peptoniphilaceae
Description: DUF3800-I RNA
Rfam family: DUF3800-I RNA
About the family: Actinobacteria, Firmicutes, Fusobacteria, Proteobacteria (1 example), Tenericutes (2 examples). Terminator (Clostridia)
Source: Rfam by way of RNAcentral
UAAUAUUACAGAUAAUACUGUUUUACACUUAAGAUUUGAUAGUGAUAUUAAGCGUGAUGUAAGCACGCCUGCUUAAGUGGGAAGGGCCUAUAAGAAGGCUCUUUUUUUAUUUAUA